Tumebacillus sp. is the source of this 264-nucleotide non-coding RNA. The record is from Rfam. Lineage: Bacteria; Bacillati; Bacillota; Bacilli; Caryophanales; Alicyclobacillaceae.
UCGUGCUAGACGGGGAGGUAGCGGUGCCCUGUAACCCGCAAUCCGCUAUAGCGGGGUUGAUGUCUGGCCGAGGGUCUUCGUUUGUGGAACGGUCGGUCGUAAGUGGUGUUGAGGAUCGGGUCCUGCGCGACCAAGCCUCCUGAACCGUGUCAGGUCCGGAAGGAAGCAGCACUAAGGGAAUCGCUUGUGUGUGCCGCAGGGGUGCCUGGUCUGAGCUAACUGCUGCCGACUCUUCAUCGGCGGGAUUCGAAGCCAGAUGCACGG